GACGAACGCUGGCGGCGCGCCUAACACAUGCAAGUCGAACGGAGCUGAGAGAAGCUUGCUUUUCUUAGCUUAGUGGCGAACGGGUGAGUAACGCGUGAGUAACCUGCCCUGGAGUGGGGGACAACAGUGGGAAACGACUGCUAAUACCGCAUAAGCCCACGAUCCGGCAUCGGAUUGAGGGAAAAGGAUUUAUUCGCUUCAGGAUGGACUCGCGUCCAAUUAGCUAGUUGGUGAGGUAACGGCCCACCAAGGCGACGAUUGGUAGCCGGACUGGGAGGUGGAAACGCCACAGUGGGGAUGCGGCCCGGCCCCGAACGCUACGGGGGGGUGGGGUGGGGGAUAUUGCACAAUGGGGGAAACCCUGAUGACGCGACGCCGGGUGGAGGAAGAAGGUUUUCGGAUUGUAAACUCCUGUCGUUAGGGACGAUAAUGACGGUACCUAACAAGAAAGCACCGGCUAACUACGUG
Molecule: ribosomal RNA, 468 nt
Filed under: uncultured bacterium
Lineage: Bacteria
Description: partial 16S ribosomal RNA
Rfam family: Bacterial small subunit ribosomal RNA
Source: RNAcentral